UAAGGAUUCUGAUAAGAAUCUAAAUUCAACAGCAAAUCAAAAACGGAAUCAACACUUUGUGGAAUAAUUUUCUGAUUAUAUUAAAUGAAAAGCUGAAAAAAAUUACAAUGAAAGUAACUAAAUUAACUAGAAAAACUGAUAAGAGAGGUCGCCAUACAGAAGAGAAUUAGAGAAAAAAAGAAAAAGAUAGAGCAAAAGAGAGAAGGAAUUUGGGGGAGAAUGAAAUUAUAGGAAAUUCGUUGCCUUCUCUCUCUUGCCAUUGGGUAUUUAUAACAAACUAACAACUGUUGACGUGGCGCGAUCGUGACCCUUCCUCCUUAAUAAUGAUCUUCUAAUCCUCGUCCUUAGUUUAUAAUUAGCUGAGCAUUCUCAAUGACUUAACUCAGCUUCAAAUCCCCUUCACUACAUCUUAUUUACUAUUAACUUUGGACCUCUAAUUCAUGACAUAAAUCUUUGGGGGGUGCAGUCUGAAUUCCCCCUUCACAUUCUCAUUGACCCAAAUCCCAUAAUAAAGAAGGUAUUUCGAACAAUAAUUAAAACUUGAAUGUCAGUUGACAACUUAAAUUUAUAAAGAAGUCAUAUGUCCAACUUUCAACUUUCCCUUUCUAUUUGAUAUACUUUUUAUCGUGAGAGAUCUUUUCUUGAAACAAGAUUUGCUGGUAGAUAUUUGUAGGUUGAUAUUAGUUUGUUUUCACAUCAUGCCUUCAAAAAUUCCCAGCAUAAAAUGAUCGAGGUAAUUUGUGAAUUGAAUUCUUAGCUUGAGUGCUCCUCCGAUGAUUCAAUAUAUUGAGGAUGGUGCCACCUUGGGGUUGAAAUCCUUCCUCCCCUGGGAAGCUCAUAUUGUCCCAAGAACAUAAGUGAUAGCCUUUUCUUUUCUUCCUUUCCUGCAUAAAAGUUAUUCAACCUUUCACUUUUUGUAUUUAUAGCCUGAGAUAUUAUAGGGUCAUUGAGUCGUAUUUUUACUCUUUUUCCCUCCUACCGCUGUUGGGGUUUUUAAUUAAACCAAAAAGAGGGGUAAAUAAUGGAAAAAGAAAUAGAAGAAAAUAAAAUUUUGAAUUAGUUCUUUUACAAAGGAACUUUGUCCCUUGUUAGAUAAGAAGAUGAAAAUUUUUGUGCUUAUAUAUAGAAGAAUUUCUUCUAGCUCUUGAAGAUUUAAGAAAAGAUCAAGCGUAGCAGUGUCAUCGUUAUCGCUCGAUCGGCUCGGCUUCGCUUCAGAUAUGAAUUUGGAUUUGGAUUUGGU
Molecule: long non-coding RNA, 1240 nt
Filed under: Nicotiana benthamiana
Lineage: Eukaryota; Viridiplantae; Streptophyta; Magnoliopsida; Solanales; Solanaceae
Description: long non-coding RNA (NBEN_LNC020634)
Source: RNAcentral